CCUACGGGAGGCAGCAGUGGGGGAUAUUGGACAAUGGAGGAAACUCUGAUCCAGCGAUGCCGCGUGAGUGAAGAAGGUUUUCGGAUUGUAAACCUCUGUGGAGGGGGACGACAAUGACGGUACUCCUUUAGUAAGCAACGGCUAACUACGUGCCAGCAGCAGCCGUAAUACGUAGGUGGCGAGCGCUGUCCGGAAUUAUGGGGUGCAAAGGGAGUGUAGGCGGGAGAGCAAGUCAGAAGUGAAAACUAUGGGCUUAACCCAUAGCCUGCUUUUGAAACUGUUUUUCUUGAGUGAAGUAGAGGAAAGCGGAAUUCCUAGUGUAGCGGUGAAAUGCGUAGAUAUUAGGAGGAACACCAGUGGCGAAGGCGGCUUGCUGGGCUGUUACUGACGCUGAGGCUCGAAAGCGUGGGGAGCAAACAGGAUUAGAUACCCGGGUAGUC
Molecule: ribosomal RNA, 440 nt
Filed under: uncultured bacterium
Lineage: Bacteria
Description: partial 16S ribosomal RNA
Rfam family: Bacterial small subunit ribosomal RNA
Source: RNAcentral